Molecule: ribosomal RNA, 348 nt
Filed under: Triticum aestivum (bread wheat)
Lineage: Eukaryota; Viridiplantae; Streptophyta; Magnoliopsida; Poales; Poaceae
Description: partial small subunit ribosomal RNA
Source: RNAcentral
AUGCCCGAGGAAAGAGCUGAACAGGAACGUGUACCUGUACUUCUACUGAAACUUAACGACACUGCUCCUCAAAGAAAGACGGUUAUUAUACUACUGCACAACUCUUACAAAUGCAAGGAAUGGUUGUGUCCACUGCUUCAGGCACUGAACUCAUCUUGGAGGAGUGGGAAAACUAUACCUUUCAUUUUUACACGAAAUUGGUGGUUGCUGGUAAGCUGGUUGCUUGGUUACUUUGAGUCUGAUCAUUCAUUCACAGAAGUGGUGUUUGUUGUACCAUACCAAAGCUUUCCGGUGGCUGCAGUUUGCAGUUUGCACGCCUUCUCGACAGAAAUGCAGCACGAGCACUAG